Small RNA from Epulopiscium sp. Nele67-Bin004, 67 nucleotides. It matches the Rfam family "RAGATH-18 RNA". From Rfam's summary of the family: Actinobacteria, Firmicutes, Fusobacteria, Thermotogae (1 example). Nearby to self-cleaving ribozyme genes The record is from Rfam. Lineage: Bacteria; Bacillati; Bacillota; Clostridia; Lachnospirales; Lachnospiraceae.
CCUGUGGAGAGUUAUAUCAAAUGUUAGUAGGGGGAAAGUGCUGAGGACAGACUCUAUGAAGCAGGAA